RNAcentral lists this ribosomal RNA (547 nucleotides) under Lactifluus pallidotestaceus. Its description in RNAcentral is "Lactifluus sp. 21 HL-2019 partial large subunit ribosomal RNA". It matches the Rfam family "Eukaryotic large subunit ribosomal RNA", at positions 85 to 631 of the family's 3401-position model. The record is from RNAcentral. Lineage: Eukaryota; Fungi; Basidiomycota; Agaricomycetes; Russulales; Russulaceae.
AACUGCGAGUGAAGCGGGAAAAGCUCAAAUUUAAAAUCUGAUGGUCUUUGAUCGUCCGAGUUGUAAUUUAGAGAAGCGUCUUCCGCGUCGAGCCGUGCACAAGUCUCCUGGAAUGGAGCAUCAUAGAGGGUGAGAAUCCCGUCUUUGGCAUGGACCUUCGAUGCUUCUGUGAUGUGCUCUCAAAGAGUCGAGUUGUUUGGGAAUGCAGCUCAAAAUGGGUGGUGAACUCCAUCUAAAGCUAAAUAUUGGCGAGAGACCGAUAGCGAACAAGUACCGUGAGGGAAAGAUGAAAAGCACUUUGGAAAGAGAGUGAAACAGUACGUGAAAUUGUUGAAAGGGAAACGCUUCAAGUCAGUCGCGUCGACCGAGACUCAGCCUCGCCUCGGCUUGGUGUACUUCUCGGCUGACGGGCCAGCAUCAAUUUCGUCCCUCGGAUAAUGGCAAGGGAAAGGUGGCACCCUUUUGGGUGUGUUAUAGUCUCUUGUCGAAUGUGAGGGACGGGAUUGAGGACCUCAGCACGCACCUCUCGGUGUCGGGGCUUCGGCCC